This 365-nucleotide ribosomal RNA is filed under the name uncultured bacterium. Its description in RNAcentral is "partial 16S ribosomal RNA". It matches the Rfam family "Bacterial small subunit ribosomal RNA", at positions 338 to 700 of the family's 1533-position model. The record is from RNAcentral.
CCUACGGGAGGCAGCAGUGAGGAAUAUUGGUCAAUGGGCGCGAGCCUGAACCAGCCAAGUAGCGUGAAGGAUGACUGCCCUACGGGUUGUAAACUUCUUUUAUAAAGGAAUAAAGUGAGGCACGUGUGCCUUGUUGGAUGUACUUUAUGAAUAAGGAUCGGCUAACUCCGUGCCAGCAGCCGCGGUAAUACGGAGGAUCCGAGCGUUAUCCGGAUUUAUUGGGUUUAAAGGGAGCGUAGAGGGGUUGUUAAGUCAGUGGUGAAAGUUUGCGGCUCAACCGUAAAAUUGCACUUGAUACUGGCAGUCUUUAGUACAGUUGAGGUCGGCGGCAUUCGUGGUGUCGCGGUUACAUGCUUAGCUCUCAC